AGCUGAGCAAAACUAAUUACGGAUAUGUUUGUGACAUGAAAUGCCUACAAGAUACUCUUGGUGAGCUGGUGAAAAAAGGUGAACUGAAAUUCUAAUUAAAAUAAAAUAAUUCUAUGUAAUAAUUACGUAUUUUCUAAAGGAGCCAUCCUUAGUGUAAUGAUAUAUUAGGUAUUUGUUUUAUUUUUACAUUCCUAAUUGUCAUUCUAGUCUUUACCCUAGCCCUAAGACCUAAGUCUAACUCAAAAGUUCUUAAUCCAUCACAUUCCUAAUCCAACCCUGAUUUAUCCUAAAUCUAACCCUAAUCCCCGAGCCGACGGCGCGAAGCGCCGUGCGAGGGUACUAAUUUCCCCCGGCUAUUUACACUCGUGGAAACGAAAGCAUUAACGAAGUCUAAAGUUCAUCAAUUAUCGCGGGCGCUUACCAACGGUGUUGAGUGGGUGGUCAAUCACUGAUCUCAAAGCCAGGAGUGAAGAAGGCAAAAAAUAUAAAAAAACACAUGUAAGAAAGCUUGGAAAAUCGUUUCACAUAACAAAUUGAACAACUUUUUUGCAAUUUGUAAACGUAAACAUUGAUAAGAAUUGAUAUUGUAUGAUAAAUCCUAAAGUAUAGGGCAAGCUUGUUUCAAUUGUUUAUGUAUGACUUUGUAUUUAAUAAUAUAUACUUUGAUCUUGAUGUUUAAGUCUUUCCUAUGCAUUGCUUGCGAAAGUUUCUUAGUUAAAUUAACUUUUGUAGAAGUUCAUGAUAAAAAGGAAAGCAAAUUAUUUUCAUUAGCGUCCUGUACGAAUUAAAUUCGUUUCAUUUCAAAGUGCGAGUAAUAAGUUGAAGCUCGAGUUGAGAAGUUUAUAAAUAUCGGCAAGAAGCGGUUAAUUUCAAUUCACAUUUAAAAACGUUUUACGUAGAGUUUCGUUUUGAAUUUUACAUUAAAAUAAAGCCCAUAAAAACCAAAAUAUUAUACCUACUUUAUAUAUUUUAGAAAUUGAUAGUUCUGUAUUUAAAAGUGUUCAAAUUUCAUGUAUUUUUUCCCGGUUUGUACAAAAAAUUAAAAAAACAAUUUUGUGUGGCCAUGACUAACAUGACGUGGCAACGCGAGCCUGCGUUCAGUGUUGGCGUAAUUACGAAUACUUCAUGUUGAAGCAAUAUUUGGAAAAUAUAGGCGAGGGGUUGUUGCAUGCACGUAUUCUAGUCCUCCCGUACAAUGCUACUACCCAUCGUUUAAUUAAUUAUAACAUUCUUGAACGUUUCUAUUUCACAUUAUUUACAAGCGAAUACAAUAAUAAAAAAAUUAUGAAAAUGAAUUAAUCUCGACUUAAGCUAAAAAUAUAUACAUCAAUUGUAAUACGACAGUGAACUGACAUGGACGCCGCGGAGCUGGAGUGGGGAGGAGGGAGGCAUCGCAUCCUCUGCUCUUUUCCGGGGCGGGAAAUUGGGCAAAGCUGUCAUUGAUUUUAGGUAAAUAUUUAAAAUAUUCCAAAAUUAUUUAAAAUGUUUUUACUUGUUCGCCGAAUGAGCCCAAAAUCGCGAAUCGAAAGACGGUUAUUUAGAGGGAAAUGUACUUCUAUGCAGGCGUCGAUUUUGACCAAUAUACAAUUUUGUUAGUUUCGAGAAUCAGUACUAAUACAAUUCUAGAGAAUAUUGUCGAUGGGAUUUUUUGUUGAUCGGGAGGGGGGCGGUACAGUUUAUCAAUCCUACCCUUACCCACCUUAUAUUCUACACAAUAACAUUAACAAAUAUAGUAUGCAAAAUCUGUGCACAAAAGUUUUUCUUAACACUCUAUUGUGGCGUCAUUUUUGGGAUAUUUAUAUGGAAUGCCACCUGUUGACCUUCUUUACGUACAUUUUUUGAGAAGAAUUAAUUGUUUCAUACCUUGAUUGAUUAUCAAUGACUAACGUUUAUUAACACAAUUACAUUUGCAAAAGAUUACAAAAGAACUUUACCAAAGCCUGCAUCCCCAAAUUUGGUUGACGUUGGAUGGCAAACGAUACAUUUGAGCCUUAAUACGACAGAAUUGGGAAAUUACAGUGAUCUUUAUUAUAUUUUGGAAGUCAAGCCGCAAUGGGGCCUUCAAGAGAGGAAUAAUGUCUUUGUUGUGUUUCCUUACACAAGGAAAUACCACCAU
RNAcentral lists this long non-coding RNA (2116 nucleotides) under Paramuricea clavata. Lineage: Eukaryota; Metazoa; Cnidaria; Anthozoa; Malacalcyonacea; Plexauridae. The record is from RNAcentral.